CAGCAGCCGCGGGAAUACGAAGGGGGCUAGCGUUGUUCGGAAUUACUGGGCGUAAGGCGCACGUAGGCGGAUAUUUAAGUCAGGGGUGAAAUCCCGCAGCUCAACUGCGGAACUGCCUUUGAUACUGGGUAUCUUGAGUAUGGAAGAGGUUAGUGGAAUUGCGAGUGUAGAGGUGAAAUUCGUAGAUAUUCGCAGGAACACCAGUGGCGAAGGCGGCUAACUGGUCCAUAACUGACGCUGAGGUGCGAAAGCGUGGGGAGCAAACAGGAUUAGAUACCCGCGUAGUCCCUGUCUCUUAUAC
This 301-nucleotide ribosomal RNA is filed under the name uncultured bacterium. Its description in RNAcentral is "partial 16S ribosomal RNA". It matches the Rfam family "Bacterial small subunit ribosomal RNA", at positions 509 to 807 of the family's 1533-position model. The record is from RNAcentral.